Molecule: long non-coding RNA, 190 nt
Organism: Octopus sinensis (East Asian common octopus)
Lineage: Eukaryota; Metazoa; Mollusca; Cephalopoda; Octopoda; Octopodidae
Exons: 4
Source: RefSeq, a predicted model, not a curated record
CACACGUGUGCUCUUUCGAUCGGUCCUUCUCAGGGCGAACCUCUGACCACACAGAGCUCGUCGUAGGCUUUUAGUUCUUUUCAGAACUAAGUCUCUGACCACACAGAGAAUACUCGACCAAGUUCCAGUUUCGAGGCAAGCGACCACCAUUAAUACAAGAUGUUACAGAUACCUAACAUACUGUUAGUGU